This is a small nuclear RNA of Sorex fumeus (smoky shrew), 106 nucleotides long. The record is from RefSeq and is a predicted model, not a curated record. Lineage: Eukaryota; Metazoa; Chordata; Mammalia; Eulipotyphla; Soricidae.
AUACUAAAAUUCGGCAGCACAUAUACUAAAAUUGAAACGAUACAGAGAAGAUUAGCAUGGCCCCUGCACAGUUAAAAAAGUGCAUUUAAAAUUCAGCUAGAUUGGG